This 1482-nucleotide ribosomal RNA is filed under the name metagenome. Its description in RNAcentral is "bacterial SSU rRNA". It matches the Rfam family "Bacterial small subunit ribosomal RNA". The record is from RNAcentral.
AGAGUUUGAUCCUGGCUCAGGAUGAACGCUGGCGGCGUGCCUAAUACAUGCAAGUCGAACGCUUCACUUCGGUGAAGAGUGGCGAACGGGUGAGUAAUACAUAAGUAACCUGGCAUCUACAGGGGGAUAACUGAUGGAAACGUCAGCUAAGACCGCAUAGGUGUAGAGAUCGCAUGAACUCUAUAUGAAAAGUGCUACGGGACUGGUAGAUGAUGGACUUAUGGCGCAUUAGCUUGUUGGUAGGGUAACGGCCUACCAAGGCGACGAUGCGUAGCCGACCUGAGAGGGUGACCGGCCACACUGGGACUGAGACACGGCCCAGACUCCUACGGGAGGCAGCAGUAGGGAAUUUUCGGCAAUGGGGGAAACCCUGACCGAGCAACGCCGCGUGAAGGAAGAAGUAAUUCGUUAUGUAAACUUCUGUCAUAGAGGAAGAACGGUGGAUAUAGGGAAUGAUAUCCAAGUGACGGUACUCUAUAAGAAAGCCACGGCUAACUACGUGCCAGCAGCCGCGGUAAUACGUAGGUGGCGAGCGUUAUCCGGAAUUAUUGGGCGUAAAGAGGGAGCAGGCGGCACUAAGGGUCUGUGGUGAAAGAUCGAAGCUUAACUUCGGUAAGCCAUGGAAACCGUAGAGCUAGAGUGUGUGAGAGGAUCGUGGAAUUCCAUGUGUAGCGGUGAAAUGCGUAGAUAUAUGGAGGAACACCAGUGGCGAAGGCGACGAUCUGGCGCAUAACUGACGCUCAGUCCCGAAAGCGUGGGGAGCAAAUAGGAUUAGAUACCCUAGUAGUCCACGCCGUAAACGAUGAGUACUAAGUGUUGGGUGUCAAAGCUCAGUGCUGCAGUUAACGCAAUAAGUACUCCGCCUGAGUAGUACGUUCGCAAGAAUGAAACUCAAAGGAAUUAACGGGGGCCCGCACAAGCGGUGGAGCACGUGGUUUAAUUCGAAGCAACGCGAAGAACCUUACCAGGUCUUGACAUCGAUCUAAAGGCUCCAGAGAUGGAGAGAUAGCUAUAGAGAAGACAGGUGGUGCAUGGUUGUCGUCAGCUCGUGUCGUGAGAUGUUGGGUUAAGUCCCGCAACGAGCGCAACCCCUGUUGCCAGUUGCCAGCAUUAAGUUGGGGACUCUGGCGAGACUGCCGGUGACAAGCCGGAGGAAGGCGGGGAUGACGUCAAAUCAUCAUGCCCCUUAUGACCUGGGCUACACACGUGCUACAAUGGACAGAGCAGAGGGAAGCGAAGCCGCGAGGUGAGCGAAACCCAUAAAACUGUUCUCAGUUCGGACUGCAGUCUGCAACUCGACUGCACGAAGAUGGAAUCGCUAGUAAUCGCGAAUCAGCAUGUCGCGGUGAAUACGUUCUCGGGCCUUGUACACACCGCCCGUCACACCAUGAGAGUCGGUAACACCCGAAGCCGGUGGCCUAACCGCAAGGAAGGAGCUGUCUAAGGUGGGACUGAUGAUUGGGGUGAAGUCGAAACAAGGUA